Molecule: unclassified non-coding RNA, 402 nt
Filed under: soil metagenome
Description: partial contains 5.8S ribosomal RNA, internal transcribed spacer 2, and large subunit ribosomal RNA
Rfam family: 5.8S ribosomal RNA (bases 1-121)
Source: RNAcentral
GAUGAAGAACGCAGCGAAAUGCGAUAAGUAAUGUGAAUUGCAGAAUUCAGUUAAUCAUCGAAUCUUUGAACGCACCUUGCGCCCUUUGGCUAUUCCGAAGGGCAUGCCUGUUUGAGUAUCAUGAACACCUCAACUCUCAUGGUUUGCCAUGAUGAGCUUGGACUCUGGGGGUCUUGCUGGCCUAUGGUCAGCUCCUCUCAAAUAAAUCAGCUUGCCAGUGUUUGGUGGCAUCACAGGUGUGAUAACUAUCUACGCUUGUGGUUUUCCAUCAGGUAACCUUCAGUGAUGGAGGUUCGCUGGAGCUCAUAAAUGUCCCUCCUCAGCGAGGACAGCUUUUUGAACGUUUGAUCUCAAAUCAGGUAGGACUACCCGCUGAACUUAAGCAUAUCAAUAAGCGGAGGA